AAUUAUUCGAUAAUCAAUCACUUAUAGUCUAGAAUACAUUUGUAACUUAGCUGUAGAGAAAUACAUGAUUUGUUAUUCUUUUAAAUAAUAAUGACUCAAAAUAUCCAAAUAACUAGUAGAAUACAUUUCUUACACGGUAAGAAACAUGAACUUUUUUCUCUCCAUCUAAACCACAAGGAAAGAAGUAAAAACAUGGAAAAGGACAAGUGAUAAAACGGCGUCUUCUGCUCCACUUGUCUCUACCGCAGUCCACAUACAAAACCGAACCACCGUCGCGAAUCGUGAAGCGGAUCCGACGCCCCGGGCGCCUCCUAAUCACAAAUCCGCUAGAUAACUAUGAGCACGAGUGCACUGUUCCAUUUUCUUGACAACACAAGUGAAGUGCGUACAAUAACGCUCACCAUCAAGGCACCACCCCUGGUUGGCUCUAGUCUCUAGAAUGCGUACAUCACACCAUCUUCUCCAGGCCACAAAAUCCUGUGCCCCCGAAUGUUGUUUCUUUCUCUGGCUUGCCUUGCAACACCGGUGAUUCUCGCUGCAGAAUGCUUGACUGCCGAUCCACCUUUUGGAUAUAAAAGAUUCGGAAAUUAGAAAAAACCUAGCAGAUAUGGAAGUUUUCGUUAAAAACAGUUUUUUAACGACAAUGGACUGGAGACGUAUCAAAAAUGGAGAACAAAUUAACAUGACAAUAAUCUGGUCAUGAUAACUUUUAAUAAAAAUAAACACAGUAAAGUAAAGUCAGCCUCUUCUCGUCAACUUCAAUAAUCCCAAAACAGCACUCUGCUUACUGACUGGAAUAUGAGAGCUUCCAUUAUGUUCAGCGACAACAAGCAACUACCAAAAGGAAGUAAUGUAAGCUGCUGGCAGCAGUGAAAAGAAAGGAAGAUAUAACAUGAUUGCAUUUGUAACUGAGCAGCCCUUUUCAGGAAAGAAGACAAUUGCGCUAGGUAUAUGACUGGAGGCAGAGGACGAAAAAAAUUUAAGGUGUGGCGAAGUCUUAAGGAAAUAAUUCUUUUGAUGCAAAUCAAAAGAGUCAAGACAAAUUACAAACGAAAAACCAAAUACAAUGAAUAUGUAGGCAUGUUUCAAUAGGAAAACAACCUAAAAUAUACCGAUAAUGAAGCUUUCAAUGGCAUGUGCCGAAAUAUUGACACUUUCACGGGUGCUUGGAUUUGAUUUUGAGUUGCUGCCACUACCAAGCACUUCAAAAUACUUCUUCAAAUCUGCAAUCACAACAUUAAUAUAUCACUACAAUCUGCUUGAAUUUAAGGCUUGAAGCUGCUGUUCAAAAUUGCUAUAAAAUUUCAGAACAAAGAGAAAUUACCUCUUCCCCUUUUCUUUGGAUUUGCUAGUCCAUUCCCCUUUCUAUCCAUCUUCUAGUAAUCUGGACAGAACAGCACCGGUUGGGCAUCUUAUUAGCUUGUACGUAUAAUCAUCUAAAAACAAAAACUUGUUCGUACAGUACACAGUUAUAUUCAUAAUUACUGCAGUUGGUUCGGAACUUCAGAUCCUGAAGAAUUGACAGACGAAAAAUCGGCAAUACCUAACAAAGUGGCUGCAACUAGUCUCUGGUUCGGACCCUGAGUAAUUACCAAGGAAUUGCCAGGAAAAUCCCAAUGGAGCUUGCUGCCGCCACUGGAGCCACCGGUUGCUGCCGCCGCUGAAGACGUCGCUUGCUGCCUUAGCUGGAGCCGCGCUGCAGCCACCGCUGGAGCUUGCUGCCGCAGCCCUCUAAGCCCCCAGCCUGCCGCCGUCGUCAGUCGCCCGCCUGGUCCUCGCGACCUGGCCAGCCGCCGCCGCCGCGCUAGCUUAGGGUUGCGUCGCGUCUGGUG
This 1832-nucleotide long non-coding RNA is filed under the name Triticum aestivum (bread wheat). RNAcentral describes it as "long non-coding RNA (TAES_LNC028555)". Lineage: Eukaryota; Viridiplantae; Streptophyta; Magnoliopsida; Poales; Poaceae. The record is from RNAcentral.